Molecule: long non-coding RNA, 2565 nt
Organism: Haliotis rubra (blacklip abalone)
Lineage: Eukaryota; Metazoa; Mollusca; Gastropoda; Lepetellida; Haliotidae
Exons: 2
Source: RefSeq, a predicted model, not a curated record
UGAAAAAGACCGUACCGGCCGCUGCACACCUCUUCUUGGAUAAAGACAAGACCGUAAACAUCACAAAUGGAACCCUCGUGUGGCGAACCGAAAAGAAUGAUCACAGCUUCAUGUACGGUGGCAUCAUCAGCAGUGACGAUGGCGGUCUCACCGUAACUAAGGCCGGCGACUAUCUCGUAAUUGGGCACCUCUGUUUUGAUACAUUUAGCAACGAAAUGAACAGGUCUUCAAUUAUUGAAUUAUAUAUUAAUCUGGAGUUUUCUCCCGUCUCAGUCUUGGUGACCAAAGUAAAGCUGAGGAAUAGAACAUACUUGUCCACAAGCUUUACAAUUCUGCGAAAACAAAUGAAAAAAAAUAGUCGUUUCUGGUUCACGUUUCUGGAUGACAGCCAUGUAAAGUACAUUUACGAUGAUGAGUCAGCUUGCAGUGCACUGACCUUACUUAAAGUACCUUAAACUGCCAUUGCAGUGACAGGAGUGAGUGACUAUGGUUUUACGACGCUUUUAGCAAUGUUCCAGCCAUGUCACGGCGGGGGACACCAGAAAUUGGCUUCACACAUUGUACCUAUGUGGGGUAGACGUGACCAAAUCUGUAAACAAUAGAGCAAACCAAGAACACGUCACUGCGCAUUGUAAGCUCACGGGGACACAUAUAGCUCAUUGGAUCAUAAGGAGCCGCCAUUUGUGUCCUAAAUCGGCGGUGUGGUUCACGGUUGGCUCUGUACCGUUGUUUCCAAGCUUUUACCAAGAACGUGUUCAAACAGCCCGAUGUGUGUGACACAACAAGACCUCACAAUUAUUAUCAAUAAUGUGGAUGUCAGGUUUCCGAUUUCGUCCAUUUUGUUUAUUAAAACCUAAUUGUGAGGUUCCUUUUAAUCAUAAUCAAUUAUUUCCUUCCAUAUAAAUUUAGUUAUGGUCGGGAUAACUGUUGCUCAGUUACUUGUCAUUUGCAUGUUCUGAUCACCAUUGACAUGAUUUAAGUCCCCGAGAUUUUCAAGUAAGUGCUUACAGAUCUCAGUCGUUCUGUAGCGUUUCUCAAAACUAUUCCAAGUUGUAAAGAUCUAUUUCUGACACAUGUUGUAAAUAACUGUUAUAACACAUGUAAGGAACUGUUUCUGACACAUGUUGUAAGAACUGUUAUGACAUCUAUUGUAAAGAACUGUUCAUGACAUAUGUUGCAAAAAACUGUUUAUGGCACAUGUUGUACAGAACUGUUUCUGACACAUGUUGUGAAGAACUAUUUCUGACACAUGUUGUAAAGAACUAAUUAUAACGCAUGUUGUAAAGAACUGUUUCUGACACAUGUUGUAAAGAACUGUUAUAACAUAUGUUGGAAAGCACUGUUUAUAACACAUGUUGUAAAGAACAGUUUAUCACACAUGCAAAGAACUGUUAUGACAUGUGUUGUAAAGAACUGUUUAUAACAGAUGUUGUAAAGAAAUGUUAUGACGCAUGUUGUAAAGAACUGUUUCUGACACAUGUUGUAAAGAACUGUUUAUAACAGAUGUUGGAAAGAACUGUUUCUGACGCAUGUUGUAGAGAACUGUUUCUGACACAUGUUGUAUAGAACAGUUUAUGACACACGUUGUAAAGAACAGUUUAUGACACAUGUUGUAAAGAACAGUUGAUGACACAUGUUGUAGAGAGCAGUUGAUGACACAUGUUAUAAAGAAUUUUUAUGACAUAUGUUUCAAAGAACAUUUUAUGACAUAUGUUGUAAAGACAUGUUUCAAAGAACAGCCUUUUGCAUAUCAUCAGUAAUUAAGCACAUUUCGUCUGAACGAAAAUAUUUAAAUGAAAUAUCAUCAUUUUUUAAGUUUCUGUUCUUAAAAGGUAAAAGAAAACAUAUAUAGUUAUUCUGUUGUGAUGUACAUAAGUUUAUCAUAGUUGUGUAUCGGAUCUUAAGUUUGCAGUGUUUCAGCGAAUGUUUUUAGCCACGUGACUUUUUGACAACUUUUGUAAAUUGGGGUGUAUACAUUCUUUUGUCCAGCAGUUUACGCAUUCAGCUAAUUAUUAUAUACAUAUAAAUAUUGUAUAUUCAACUAACUGUUAUAAGUGUGUACAAUAUUCCAUUAACUGUUUGAAGUGUGUUCUGUAUCUGAUUAAUGUGUUUGGGUUUUUUUGUUUAACGACGCUCUCAUCAACAUUCCAGCUUUAUGACGGCGAUCUGUAAAUAGUCGAGUGUGGACUGGGCAAUCCAGUGAUUGACAUCAUGAGCAUCGUAACAUAUCUUAUAUUUGGGAUUACACAUUCUCUGUAAAGUACAGAUUCUAGUUCUUUUGUUGGGUGGAGUCCCAUCCGGGAUUCGAACCCACCUCCUCAGAGUCAGCAACCCAAACCAGGGACUUAACCCACUCAGCCAUAGCGGCUUCAUGAACAUCGAUAUCUACCCAAUGGGGAUACGAUGCAUCAACCAAGUCAGCACUCUUACGAGAAUGGCUUUCUGAAGACCAUUUAUUGUCCAUGUCUUUAAGAUGUUAAAUCAUCUGUUUGAUGUGUGUUGUGUAUUUACUAAACUGUUUAGUGCUUUAUACACUGAGAUAAAAAAUAAACUAUACCUAUCAGC